CCUACGGGGGACAGCAGUCGAGAAUCAUUCACAAUGGAGGAAACUCUGAUGCUGCGACGCCGCGUGGGGGAAUGAAGGUCUUCGGAUUGUAAACCCCUGUCAUGUGGGAGCAAAUUAAAAAGAUAGUACCACAAGAGGAGGAGACUGCUAACUCUGUGCCAGCAGCCGCGGUAAUACAGAGGUCUCAAGCGUUGUUCGGAAUCACUGGGCGUAAGGGGUGCGUAGGCUGUUUCGUAAGUCGGGUGUGAAAGGCGCGGGCUCAACCCGCGGACGGCACAUGAUACUGCGAGACUAGAGGUAUGGAGGGGGAAGCGGAAUGCACGGUGUAGCAGUGAAAUGCGUAGAGAUCGAGAGGAACACUCGUGGCGAAGGCGGGUUCCUGGACAUUAACUGACGCUGAGGCACGAAGGCCAGGGGAGCGAAAGGGAUUAGAUACCCUUGUAGUC
Molecule: ribosomal RNA, 446 nt
Filed under: uncultured bacterium
Lineage: Bacteria
Description: partial 16S ribosomal RNA
Rfam family: Bacterial small subunit ribosomal RNA
Source: RNAcentral